RNAcentral lists this ribosomal RNA (996 nucleotides) under uncultured bacterium. Its description in RNAcentral is "bacterial SSU rRNA". It matches the Rfam family "Bacterial small subunit ribosomal RNA", at positions 356 to 1376 of the family's 1533-position model. The record is from RNAcentral.
GGGGAAUAUUGCACAAUGGGGGAAACCCUGAUGCAGCGACGCCGCGUGGAGGAAGAAGGUCUUCGGAUUGUAAACUCCUGUCCCAGGGGACGAUAAUGACGGUACCCUGGGAGGAAGCACCGGCUAACUACGUGCCAGCAGCCGCGGUAAAACGUAGGGUGCAAGCGUUGUCCGGAAUUACUGGGUGUAAAGGGAGCGCAGGCGGAUUGGCAAGUUGGGAGUGAAAUCUAUGGGCUCAACCCAUAAAUUGCUUUCAAAACUGUCAGUCUUGAGUGGUGUAGAGGUAGGCGGAAUUCCCGGUGUAGCGGUGGAAUGCGUAGAUAUCGGGAGGAACACCAGUGGCGAAGGCGGCCUACUGGGCACUAACUGACGCUGAGGCUCGAAAGCAUGGGUAGCAAACAGGAUUAGAUACCCUGGUAGUCCAUGCCGUAAACGAUGAUUACUAGGUGUGGGAGGAUUGACCCCUUCCGUGCCGCAGUUAACACAAUAAGUAAUCCACCUGGGGAGUACGACCGCAAGGUUGAAACUCAAAGGAAUUGACGGGGGCCCGCACAAGCAGUGGAGUAUGUGGUUUAAUUCGAAGCAACGCGAAGAACCUUACCAGGUCUUGACAUCGGAUGCAUACCUAAGAGAUUAGGGAAGUCCUUCGGGACAUCCAGACAGGUGGUGCAUGGUUGUCGUCAGCUCGUGUCGUGAGAUGUUGGGUUAAGUCCCGCAACGAGCGCAACCCUUAUCGUUAGUUACUACGCAAGAGGACUCUAGCGAGACUGCCGUUGACAAAACGGAGGAAGGUGGGGAUGACGUCAAAUCAUCAUGCCCUUUAUGACCUGGGCUACACACGUACUACAAUGGCUAUUAACAGAGAGAAGCGAUACCGCGAGGUGGAGCAAACCUCACAAAAAUAGUCUCAGUUCGGAUCGCAGGCUGCAACCCGCCUGCGUGAAGCCGGAAUUGCUAGUAAUCGCGGAUCAGCAUGCCGCGGUGAAUACGUUCCCG